Molecule: ribosomal RNA, 449 nt
Filed under: uncultured bacterium
Lineage: Bacteria
Description: SSU rRNA
Rfam family: Bacterial small subunit ribosomal RNA
Source: RNAcentral
AGAGCGGAACGCGUGGACGGCAGGCCUAACACAUGCAAGUCGAGCGCCCGUAGCAAUACGGGAGCGGCAGACGGGAUAGUAACACGUGGGAACGCGCCCUUCGGUUCGGAAUAACUCAGGGAAACUUGAGCUAAUACCGGAUACGCCCUUACGGGGAAAGAUUUAUUACCGAAGGAACGGCCCGCGUCCGAUUAGCUAGUUGGUGAGGUAAUGGCUCACCAAGGCGACGAUCGGUAGCUGGUCUGAGAGGAUGACCAGCAUCACUGGGACUGAGACACGGCCCAGACUCCUACGGGAGGCAGCAGUGGGGAAUAUUGGACAAUGGGCGCAAGCCUGAUCCAGCCAUGCCGCGUGGAUGAUGAAGGCCUUAGGGUUGUAAAGUCCUUUUAACGGGGAGAUAAUGACGGUACCGUAGAAUAAGCCCCGGCUAACUUCGUGCCAGCAGCCGC